Molecule: antisense RNA, 81 nt
Filed under: Yersinia enterocolitica
Lineage: Bacteria; Pseudomonadati; Pseudomonadota; Gammaproteobacteria; Enterobacterales; Yersiniaceae
Also listed under: 1 other name
Description: antisense RNA of dnaA mRNA
Rfam family: antisense RNA of dnaA mRNA
Source: RNAcentral
UUUGGCAUUGGCUUUACGGGCCAUGAUGCCAUUUCCCACAGCAUGUAACAGGUGAGUUUUACCUAAACCUGUACCGCCAUA